UACGGGAGGCAGCAGUGGGGAAUAUUGCACAAUGGGCGCAAGCCUGAUGCAGCCAUGCCGCGUGUAUGAAGAAGGCCUUCGGGUUGUAAAGUACUUUCAGUCGUGAGGAAGGUGUUAAGGUUAAUAACCUUAGCAAUUGACGUUAGCGACAGAAGAAGCACCGGCUAACUCCGUGCCAGCAGCCGCGGUAAUACGGAGGGUGCGAGCGUUAAUCGGAAUUACUGGGCUAAAGGGCACGCAGGCGGUUAAUAAGUUGGAUGUGAAAUCCCCGGGCUUAACCUGGGAAUGGCAUUCAAGACUGGUUAGCUAGAGUCUUGUAGAGGGGGUAGAAUUCCAUGUGUAGCGGUGAAAUGCGUAGAGAUGUGGAGGAAUACCGGUGGCGAAGGCGGCCCCUGGCAAAGGACUGACGCUCAUGUGCGAAAGCGUGGGGAGCGAAACAGGGAUUAGA
RNAcentral lists this ribosomal RNA (448 nucleotides) under uncultured bacterium. Its description in RNAcentral is "bacterial SSU rRNA". It matches the Rfam family "Bacterial small subunit ribosomal RNA", at positions 340 to 782 of the family's 1533-position model. The record is from RNAcentral.